RNAcentral lists this ribosomal RNA (673 nucleotides) under uncultured bacterium. RNAcentral's name for it is "bacterial SSU rRNA". It matches the Rfam family "Bacterial small subunit ribosomal RNA", at positions 94 to 803 of the family's 1533-position model. The record is from RNAcentral.
AGUGGCAGACGGGUGAGUAACAUGUGGGGAUCUACCCUUUGGCGUGGAAUAACAGCAGGAAACUUGUGCUAAUACCGGAUAAGUCUUUAGUGAGAAAGCUUUAUGCACCAUUGGAGGAGCCCGCACUUGAUUAGUUUGUUGGGAGGGUAAUGGCCUACCAAGACUAUGAUCAAUAUCUGAUUUGAGAGGAUGAUCAGCCCCAUUGUGACUGAGACACGGCCCAAACUACUACGGGAGGCAGCAGUGGGGAAUCUUGCACAAUGGAGGAAACUCUGAUGCAGCGAUGCCGCGUGAGUGAAGAAGGCCUUUGGGUUGUAAAGCUCUUUCGUCGGGGAAGAAAAUGACUGUACCCGAAUAAGAAGGUCCGGCUAACUUCGUGCCAGCAGCCGCGGUAAUACGAGGGGACCUAGCGUAGUUCGGAAUUACUGGGCUUAAAGAGUUCGUAGGUGGUUGAAAAAGUUGGUGGUGAAAUCCCAGAGCUUAACUCUGGAACUGCCAUCAAAACUUUUCAGCUAGAGUAUGAUAGAGGAAAGCAGAAUUUCUAGUGUAGAGGUGAAAUUCGUAGAUAUUAGAAAGAAUACCAAUUGCGAAAGCAGCUUUCUGGAUCAUUACUGACACUGAGGAACGAAGCAUGGUAGCGAAGAGGAUUAGAUACCCUCGUAGUCCAUGCCGA